ACGACCCGCCCGCCUCGGCCUCCCAAGUGCUAGGAUUACAGGCGUGAGCCACCGCGCCCGGCCAGGAGGAUUCCUUUCCUUGUAAAAAUUACAGUUUUGUGGUAAAUUGGUCCUGGCGUUGAUGGAGUACCUGCUAAGUGCCUGCGGAACCCUUCUACCCACUUUACAUAGGUUACAUUCAAUCUCUGCUGUUGUAUUAUUAUUCCCAUUUUACAGAUCCUCGACAGAGCUGCCUGGAAAUGACAGAAAUCAGGCAAAGGAAGUCUGAUGAGCAGGUAAAGGCAAUUAAUGAAUCGCCCACAUGCCCCAUGGUGCACCUAGGUUGCAAAGCAGCCCAUAUUCUCUUCCUCUGGUAAUGGGAGGAGGUGGGAGAGAAGGGAAGGGGUGAGUGGGAGAGGAGGUGGUGAGGAUUUUGGUAAUGGGACUCAUUAGAAUUCAACAGUGGCCAGGAAUGUUCAGGGGACUUUGUUGGCCUCUCAUUUCAUUGCCAAUAAAAUGAAGAUGACUCUGGCCUGGUUUCACUGGGGGAGUGGAGGUGGGGAAGGUGGCAGCUUUGGAGACUAAUGUGAAAACAGAACUGAGAGGACUUGCUUAGGGAUGGGAUAGAUGGUGGCGAGAAAGAGAGGAGUCUGGAACGGAACCCCUGAUUUCAGCCUGAGCAAGUGGAAAGAUGGAUUGGCUGCUGUGAAAGUUGUCAGAGUCAAAAUGGAGUCACUGUGUCAAACUCUGACAAAUGGAGUGGGGGAAGACCACAAAGGGCAGGUUUUUAUGAAAAUGUACCUGAUAACAAGAACGAUCACCAAAGAAUCUGCAGAGGCCACAGCCUUGCACAAAGGCCACCACAACUUUACACAAAACAUACUUUUGUGAGGACAGCUGCCCAGCAACUGCCUGUGUAACCUUGGAUUGCUGCCACCCUUGUUAUUGAUCCUUGUAGCCAAGGAUAAUUGUCUUAAAACAACUUACAUAACCCUCUUCAUUUUUCCUUUAAAAACCUUUGUCUUCCUUUAUCACCCUGAAUCUAUCCACAUGUAUUCCCACUGCAAUGUCCAUGCCUGAAUAAAUACCAUUUUCUUUUAAA
This is a long non-coding RNA of Lemur catta (Ring-tailed lemur), 1081 nucleotides long. RefSeq lists it as uncharacterized. NCBI's taxonomy places the organism in Eukaryota, Metazoa, Chordata, Mammalia, Primates, Lemuridae. The record is from RefSeq and is a predicted model, not a curated record. The transcript has 2 exons.